AUCCUGGCUUAGGAUGAACGCUAGCGGCAGGCUUAACACAUGCAAGUCGAGGGGCAUCGGGAGUAGCAAUACUGCCGGCGACCGGCGCAAGGGUGCGUAACGCGUGAGCAACAUGCCCGUAUCAGGGGGAUAAUCCAUGGAAACGUGGUCUAAUACCCCAUAGUAAUUAUGUAAGGCAUCUUAUAUAAUUUAAAGCUUUGGUGGAUACGGAUUGGCUCGCGUGACAUUAGCUGGAUGGUAAGGUAACGGCUUACCAUGGCUACGAUGUCUAGGGGUUCUGAGAGGAAGGUCCCCCACACUGGAACUGAGACACGGUCCAGACUCCUACGGGAGGCAGCAGUGAGGAAUAUUGGACAAUGGAUGGAAAUCUGAUCCAGCCAUGCCGCGUGCAGGAAAGACGGCCCUAUGGGUUGUAAACUGCUUUUGUAUGGGAGCAAUAAGGGCUACGUGUAGUCCGAUGAGAGUACCAUACGAAUAAGCACCGGCUAACUCCGUGCCAGCAGCCGC
RNAcentral lists this ribosomal RNA (507 nucleotides) under uncultured bacterium. RNAcentral's name for it is "bacterial SSU rRNA". It matches the Rfam family "Bacterial small subunit ribosomal RNA", at positions 16 to 518 of the family's 1533-position model. The record is from RNAcentral.